GACGGGGAGCACCACAACGGGUGGAGCUUGUCGGUUUAAUUGGAUUCAACGCCGGAAAUCUUACCGGGACCGACAGCAAUAUGAAGGCCAGGCUGAAGACUUUGCCGGAUUAGCUGAGAGGUGGUGCAUGGCCGUCGUCAGUUCGUACUGUGAAGCAUCCUGUUAAGUCAGGCAACGAGCGAGACCCACGCCCACAGUUGCCAGCGUACUCUCCGGAGUGACGGGUACACUGUGGGGACCGCCGCUGCUAAAGCGGAGGAAGGAAUGGGCAACGGUAGGUCAGUAUGCCCCGAAUAUCCCGGGCUACACGCGAGCUACAAUGGUUGGUACAAUGGGUAUCUACCCCGAAAGGGGACGGGAAUCUCCUAAAACCAAUCUUAGUUCGGAUUGAGGGCUGCAACUCGCCCUCAUGAAGCUGGAAUCCGUAGUAAUCGCGUUUCAACAGAACGCGGUGAAUACGUCCCUGCUCCUU
This 472-nucleotide ribosomal RNA is filed under the name uncultured Methanosaeta sp. RNAcentral describes it as "bacterial SSU rRNA". It matches the Rfam family "Archaeal small subunit ribosomal RNA", at positions 871 to 1337 of the family's 1478-position model. Lineage: Archaea; Methanobacteriati; Methanobacteriota; Methanomicrobia; Methanotrichales; Methanotrichaceae. The record is from RNAcentral.